UACGUAGGGUGCGAGCGUUGUCCGGAAUUAUUGGGCGUAAAGGGCUCGUAGGCGGUUUGUCGCGUCGGGAGUGAAAACCCCGGGCUUAACUCGGUGCUUGCUUUCGAUACGGGCAGACUAGAGGCAUGCAGGGGAGAACGGAAUUCCUGGUGUAGCGGUGAAAUGCGCAGAUAUCGGGAGGAACACCGGUGGCGAAGGCGGUUCUCUGGGCCUUACCUGACGCUGAGGAGCGAAAGCAUGGGGAGCAAACAGG
RNAcentral lists this ribosomal RNA (253 nucleotides) under uncultured bacterium. RNAcentral describes it as "partial 16S ribosomal RNA". It matches the Rfam family "Bacterial small subunit ribosomal RNA", at positions 524 to 776 of the family's 1533-position model. The record is from RNAcentral.